This 674-nucleotide ribosomal RNA is filed under the name Salmonella enterica subsp. enterica serovar Enteritidis. RNAcentral describes it as "partial 23S ribosomal RNA". It matches the Rfam family "Bacterial large subunit ribosomal RNA", at positions 595 to 1269 of the family's 2925-position model. The record is from RNAcentral. Lineage: Bacteria; Pseudomonadati; Pseudomonadota; Gammaproteobacteria; Enterobacterales; Enterobacteriaceae.
GACUGCGUACCUUUUGUAUAAUGGGUCAGCGACUUAUAUUCUGUAGCAAGGUUAACCGAAUAGGGGAGCCGGAGGGAAACCGAGUCUUAAUUGGGCGUUAAGUUGCAGGGUAUAGACCCGAAACCCGGUGAUCUAGCCAUGGGCAGGUUGAAGGUUGGGUAACACUAACUGGAGGACCGAACCGACUAAUGUUGAAAAAUUAGCGGAUGACCUGUGGCUGGGGGUGAAAGGCCAAUCAAACCGGGAGAUAGCUGGUUCUCCCCGAAAGCUAUUUAGGUAGCGCCUCGUGAAUUCAUCUCCGGGGGUAGAGCACUGUUUCGGCUAGGGGGCCAUCCCGGCUUACCAACCCGAUGCAAACUGCGAAUACCGGAGAAUGUUAUCACGGGAGACACACGGCGGGUGCUAACGUCCGUCGUGAAGAGGGAAACAACCCAGACCGCCAGCUAAGGUCCCAAAGUCAUGGUUAAGUGGGAAACGAUGUGGGAAGGCCCAGACAGCCAGGAUGUUGGCUUAGAAGCAGCCAUCAUUUAAAGAAAGCGUAAUAGCUCACUGGUCGAGUCGGCCUGCGCGGAAGAUGUAACGGGGCUAAACCAUGCACCGAAGCUGCGGCAGCGACACUGUGUGUUGUUGGGUAGGGGAGCGUUCUGUAAGCCUGCGAAGGUGGCCUGUGAGGG